Molecule: ribosomal RNA, 440 nt
Filed under: uncultured bacterium
Lineage: Bacteria
Description: partial 16S ribosomal RNA
Rfam family: Bacterial small subunit ribosomal RNA
Source: RNAcentral
CCUACGGGAGGCUGCAGUGGGGGAUAUUGCACAAUGGGGGGAACCCUGAUGCAGCGACGCCGCGUGGGUGAAGAAGCGCCUCGGCGCGUACAGCCCUGUCAGCAGGGAAGAAAAUGACGGUACCUGAAGAAGAAGCCCCGGCUAACUACGUCCCAGCAGCCGCGGUAAUACGUAGGGGGCAAGCGUUAGCCGGAUGUACUGGGUGGAAAGGGGGCGCAGACGGCGAUGCAAGCCAGGAGUGAAAGCCCGGGGCCCAACCCCGGGACUGCACUUGGAACUGCGUGGCUGGAGUGCAGGAGGGGCAGGCGGAAUUCCUGGUGUAGCGGUGAAAUGCGUAGAUAUCAGGAGGAACACCGGUGGCGAAGGCGGCCUGCUGGACUGCAACUGACGUUGAGGCCCGAAAGCGUGGGGAGCAAACAGGAUUAGAUACCCGGGUAGUC